This is a long non-coding RNA of Pezoporus occidentalis (night parrot), 2588 nucleotides long. RefSeq lists it as uncharacterized. NCBI's taxonomy places the organism in Eukaryota, Metazoa, Chordata, Aves, Psittaciformes, Psittacidae. The transcript is spliced from 3 exons. The record is from RefSeq and is a predicted model, not a curated record.
GUGUCUCCGGCGAGAUGCUGACGGGGUUCUGUUGUUUAUUAACCCUGCCAAAUUAAGCUUGAGGCUACAGCUCCCCAGCGAGCGCUGCGCAGCCUAAGGAGGAGCGCUGCUGGGUGGCGAUCCGGACGAGCAUCUUCCACAUCCUGAAAGCACUCAUUAAACAAUUAACAUCAUUUUAGCCAGGUAUCCUUAUGUGCUUCAUAAAAGGAUGGAGAUGUAUUCCUAUUUGCUUUAACACACUAGCUGUACUAUUUCCUACCAAUGAAUCUGUUAGAGAGUACCAUGGCCUCUCAUAACUAUGCAGGUCUCCUGCCCUAACAUGGGCUAGUCCCAGGGAGAUGGAGCACGAUGGAUCCCACAUCUGCCUGGGAGGACCCUCAGCUUACAGAUCUGUGAAACCGCAGCUGGAAGUGCUGAGACCACAGAGGAUCUUUGUGCUUUAUAUCUUCCUUGCAGUCCUUCUGUUAGAUCUCAAGUCAACAAGUCUCACAUCAAAGCCAAACUGAACUUCCGAGUUAGACUGUGUGAAACACUACAUCAAAAGCUGUUCCCAAACGCAUGUACUCUGCCUCCUGCACCCCUGUCACUCCCGUGCUCUUCACUCACCCACUGCAGUCACGUCACUCAUCGGCACAGUGGAGUCUAUUCACAUUCAGGAGUACCCACACAAGUACCGUCACAGGCUAUACCGUAUUUCUCUCAGACGGAGUUCCCUCAUGCAGCUGACAUCUUUCUGCCAAUUGUUUAGGAGCCUGGAAUUUUAAACCCAUUCAAUAACAUGCUGAAGCUGUGGUUCCCCAGUUCACUGCAGCCAGAAGAGGAAGCAGUCUCCUCUUCCUCACCUUCCCUCCUGAUGCCUGGCCUGGACUCUCAGCUGGACUUAACAGGAACAGUUGGAUCAAGGACAAGUGUUUUUGGAAACCCCUUCAGAGUGUUCAUACACUGCCGUAUUUCAUCCGCUGUCAACCAGAAAGCAGCCCUGGAAGGCAGAGCUGCUGCACAAAAGCAACCAAGACCUUCAGGUGCUCUUAACAUCCUGCUUGUUUCUUCCUAAUUGUCCAUCAUCUCCUUUGUCCAUCUGUCCAUCAUCAGAUCAUCCCAGUUUCUGAAAAGCGAUAGCUUAAUCCACUCUUCCACUACCCAGACUGUGUUCAAGUGAUAUCCCAGUGCUUGUACUUCAUGUUUUCAAAGUACCCCUGGUCUACACUUUCCCAACAGCCAUUUUUAUAUCAAGAACUUCCUGAUUCUUCUAAUCUUCUCUGUGAUUUUAUGGUUAAAAACAUCAUCAACAAUAGGGCAUUUUAGAUUCCUCACUCAUUAUUAAGUUCAUACAUUUCUCAUACAGCUUUUUUCCUGAGAUAUUUUUAGAGUACAUUUUAUUCAUCACUAAUUCUUUGCACUGGUCCUACUCUGUCCCCUUAUAAAAGAAGAGGAGCUUGCUCUGUCACUCGCCUGCCCAUCUGUGAUAUCUCCUCUUCAUUUGAAGAUGUUCUUGUCCCUCUUUGCCUGGACUUCUUUCUUUCAAAAGAUGAAAGCCUAAACUUGGGCAAACACAGCAUGGAAUUUCUGUUCUUGGUGCAUGGAGACAGCGCCCAGCCAGUGCCGUGCUUAAGUGUUCCAUGACUGUCCCGAGCACAUCAAAUAUAAUUUGGGCAUUUUACUACUAUCUGAUCACUAGAGUUGCACACAACCACCUGUUUUGCACACACAUGAGUUUAUCUUUCUAUACUCUUUUUAACCAGUUGUUGUUUAUAGAGGUCUUUUGAUAGCAGCUUGCUUAUGAGCUUGCAUUCCCACAUCUGAGAGCACAUUGUGUUCCUGAAGCAACAUCAGGGACCAUUUGUUGAAGCUUCUGAGAAAAGUUCUGGCUGAUGCAAAAGAGUGUUAGUAGAUCUGUGGCAAUAUUUCCCUAUCUAAUAAGGAAACAAACCCAAGGGAAAUCUAGGCUCAAAGGAGAGGCCCACUUGGAGGGAAGCAUUAGGACAGAUGUCACCCACAGGAGGGUUGAAAACAGGGAGGAGUGUGGAAGGAAUUAUAAACCAAUGGCAACUUCAGCUUUAUGAGACAAACACCAUGUUUGUUGUAAGACAAAGGGAUAGUGCCUAAUGUCAUCUGUAAACUGCAUAGAGAACCCAGAUUGUGACUCUUCUGCUUAAGCAUUACAACAGGGAUUUCUGAGCCUGAAGCUGUGUGCUGUGUUCAGUCAGAGGCCUCAGAGCCAGCUGCUGCUGCCCUCCCUGCCUGUACCAGCUCUGCAGCCUUGGCAGAUGUGUUACUGAGCUGAUUCACCCACUAGGCCAGCAGAACGCUACUCCUUUUUCUUUGCCAGGGUGAGCUUCCUGCUGAUUCAGUGGGUUACACCAGUUCAAUCAGCAGGUCUAACGUGAGAGGAGGAAAACAGGAACAAGAUUCUUCCCUUUCUGUCGAAGCAAGCCGUUAAAGUGACUCAAGCUGUAACAGGUGUAAGUGCCUCUGCAAAGCCUGUGGCAGCAGAGAAGCAAGUCCCAGAGGAUUUUACUCACAGGACGAAGAGGAAUUAUUUUUCUGAGAACUGGUUCAUUGUGUUGCAUUACAUACUGAAACAAUGG